UUCAGAGUAAACAUUCUUUAUACAUUCAACAUUUCAAACUAUACAUAACUGUCAAUUACAUUUGACAAAACUAUCAAUCAUAGAUUUAUACCAUUUCUAAUUCAAGGAAAUGUAUUCAUUUUGCACAUCGAUCAAUCUUCAUCAUCCGUAUAGCAAAUAAUAUCGCUUAAUAUCAUUAACCUGCAAAAAGUUUGUAUUUGCAAGAUUGAGCUUGACAGCCCAGCAAAUUUAACAGUCUAUCAUGUUUCACAUAGCACACAAUUCCAUAUGCACUAUAUUUCCUUUACUAUGCAUAUCCUACAUGCAUCAAUAAUUCUGUGCAAUGCAUAAAUUCAUUUGUUGAAUUACCUCGUCCGAUCCUCAAUCGCCUUUGUAUGAUCUAUAUAUAGCACAUUGAAUUAUAAUAUGCUUCAUAAUCUUAUUAGAAACUUAACACAUAACUAAAUUGAUUUAUAAUCUUUAGUUUGCAUAACGCGUCAUUAUCGACAUUCCACAUACCAACUUCAUAUUUUUCAGAUCUUGAGUUCUUAAGAUUCCAUCUUGUUUUAGAUUAACUAAUCAAUCUUUAAUCCGUUUCAGAAUGAAUUUCAUUACGUUGUUGCUGAUUCGCAUCAUUAAUAUCAUAUGUAUUACCUAUGUAAUAAAGCUUAUAGCUUAAUAUGUAACACGUUCUUUGGUUUAACCAAAACUUGAAUACAUCUAGAUUAACAAUUUGAUCUCUCAUUAUUAACCAUAUUAGGUUAAUUAGUUCCAUUCAAAGGUUAUUUAUAUCUCUAAUAUCUUGCGCAUGCUUAUGUAAUGUAAUUAAAGUCAUUACAUAGCUUAACGAUAAUAUAUUCUACAAAUAUGGUUUAAAUUUCCAUAUUUCAAAGGUUAAUUUCAUAAUCUUAACUUAGUAAUCAUGUUAGGUUAUUAGCAUAAUUUAUAGAUUAACUUAUGUAUUAAAACAUGUUUUAUUAUUAAUUUUUAACUAAUUAAACACCCAGGGGCAAAACUGUAAUAAAUCAGUAAUUAAACACUCAAUGGCAAAACUGUAAUAAAGCAGAAAUAACAAUCUGGAACAUGGGGCUGCCCAGAUUUCCAGAUUGUUUUGUGAUUUCCUGGCUACUUUGUGAUUUUAUAUCUCACAAUCUACUAAUCCGAUUGCUUCCAAAUUUUGAUAUGUUAUACUUGGUACUACAUACUAUUUUAAAAAAAUAUAGCACGAACAAUUUGGGUUCAUUAAGAUGAUAUUACAGAAGCUCCAAUAUGCCCCCCUCACCUCAGUUUUUUUUUUCUUCAUUCAAUUCAAGUUUUUUUUUUUGAAAUUCUUUAAAACUUGAUUUGAGCUUGAUUUGAUUCACUCAAUCAACUUAGUUAACAUCAUAAUACAUAUAUAAAGGUUACCUAGCCCCAAACUUUGCUUAAUUUUUGAUUUCUAAGCAUUAAUUUUCAUUGAGACAAAUUUUCAAAUACUUUACACGCAUAAAUAAAUUUCCAGAUUUUCACAAACUUUUAAACAUGGUUUAGCCAAGAAUUUUCGAAAUUCUUCAUCCUUAUCACUCCAAGCAUCACUUACCAUCCAUAUCACAUCAUAUCUCAUAGUCCAAGCACAACAAUUUUAUAAAUAUAAGACAUUAAUACUCUAAUUUUUAUGAACUUUAACAAAUAAAGGUUAAUACCUCUUGUUUGAUGUUCUUAUUUGAAUUCUUGUUUCAAUCCUUGCUCCAAACUUCUUGUUGAUUGAAUCCAAUCUCCCUUAACAGUAAUUUGAUGCAAUACUCCCUUCACUUCAAUUGCUAAUUUCAAUUCCUAAAGAGUUUAGGUAGUUUCUUUGUUUAUGGGGAGAGAGCAUAUCAAAUUGGGAGAGGAAGAAGAAUGGAACGGAUGGGAGAGAAAAGUGAGGGCUGAGAAUUGGGUUUAUUUGUAGCUGAUAAUAGUCUAGUCUAGCAUUCCCAACCUCUUUGUUAAUUAUCAGACUUGGUUUCUAAGUGUCAUCCUAAUAUCCAAAGGUUAUGCCACCUCCUACUGUAGCCCCUAAUGACUCACCCAUAAGGCUUAUUCUCGUUACUUUAAUUCUCAGCAAAGUGAACUUAGCCUUUUAAUACAUAUUCAACAUCAUGACUUGG
Molecule: long non-coding RNA, 2108 nt
Filed under: Panax ginseng (ginseng)
Lineage: Eukaryota; Viridiplantae; Streptophyta; Magnoliopsida; Apiales; Araliaceae
Description: long non-coding RNA (PGIN_LNC015462)
Source: RNAcentral